This 253-nucleotide ribosomal RNA is filed under the name uncultured bacterium. Its description in RNAcentral is "partial 16S ribosomal RNA". It matches the Rfam family "Bacterial small subunit ribosomal RNA", at positions 524 to 776 of the family's 1533-position model. The record is from RNAcentral.
UACGAAGGGGGCUAGCGUUGCUCGGAAUUACUGGGCGUAAAGGGCGCGUAGGCGGCACUGUUAGUCAGGCGUGAAAGUCCUGGGCUCAACCUGGGAACUGCGCUUGAUACGGCAGAGCUAGAGGAUGGAAGAGGGUCGCGGAAUUCCCAGUGUAGAGGUGAAAUUCGUAGAUAUUGGGAAGAACACCGGUGGCGAAGGCGGCGACCUGGUCCAUUACUGACGCUGAGGCGCGACAGUGUGGGGAGCAAACAGG